GGAUAGCCUCCCUCCCUCCCUCGAAGAACUCCUUUUAUACAAUUGCCCAAUUCUAGAGAAGCGAUGCAAGAAAGGGACCGGCUGCUAUUGGCCCCUCAUUUGCGAAAUCCCACAAAUUACAUUAGGCAUGUAUAUAGGCUGAGGCCUGGCUCUUUCAUCAUCUGUGUCCUUCCCCUGUUGUUGUGUGCACCUCCAUCGCCACCGCUGCUUCGGCUCUCCACUCCGUCGUCGUCCUCACCUCCAUCUCCAUCUCAUGAAUAUAUUCCAAUUAAAACAGGUAAUCAAUCUUUCCGAUCACUACUCUUCAAUACUCGUAGUCACUUCUCUUCUCAGAUUUGGCAUCACUUCUCCCCUCUCCUUUUUUAACUGCUUCUUCCCAUGUUUUCAUCGCUCCAGCCAAAAUUUAGAUUUCUCAGCUGCUUUUUUUUGUUUUGUUUUUUUUUUGGCAUUCUGAGCAGUUCUCCGCACUCCUCCGAUUCUUUCGUUCUUGCUGUGCUCCGCCUCAUUCUCCAAGAUUCUCUCAAUCUUGCUCGCCUUUCAAGUUACAUUGGAAUUCCCAUCAGUGAAGUUUGCCGGUACCAUGCCUAGAAGAAGAUGUUGCUGAAGGUGGGGACCCUGAGAUGUGAGAUUGCUUCUCAUUGUAGAGACGAAGAGGGGAGAUGCCAUCUGCAGGCUCAGCUGUCAUUAGCAUCUUUGACCUUUUUGUGGGAACUCUUUCCCAUGAUGGUUCUCAAAUUACUCGCUGGGGAUAGAGGUAUGUAUAUAUGUUCUCUUUCCCUGUUUAUUAAUUAUCUGUUCUCCCCUGAUAUUCAAUCCAUUGGACAUAAUUUAUAUGAUAAAUAAAUAGCAAAAGACAAGUUUUGAAAAUGUUUGAAAGUUGCGUCGCAUCGAAAAAGCGUAGCUCAUAACUUCAUAUGGAUAGAGCAAGUUCAUGUCAUGUUAAUGGCAGUUAGGUGCUUUAAAUCCUCUUUCCUGCUUUAGUCUGGAAACUCCAUUUGAACACAUUUACAAAGUUGUGGAAUGUGCCUGAAUACUCUGAUUUCGAUAAGUGAAAAUUACUUUUGCAACAUUCACCAUAAGUGGAAGGAAAUCGAUAUUGACUCUCUGUCUGCAUUUACCGAUGCAAAGUACUUAUUCCGACACAAGCAAUCUUCUCAUUUCUGAGCAUACUGCGGCUCACGAUGGAAUCUAUGGGGCAAACGAAUUUUAUUGCAGCUCAACCCUCUGUUCCAUCAUUCUACUCACCAUCCAAGAUUAAGGAAUGGUUUAGUUGGUUUGAGUAUAGACACAAAUGAAGGCAUUUUGUGGACUGGGUAGCACUCAAUGAAAUCUUUCCCCAUUGUUCAUUUUGUAAUUAUUGCUAUUCUGCUUCAUGGAAUCAAAGAAGUGAGUAAAUUUGCUAUUUCUUUUGACUGGCUGUUUAAAAGCUGCUUAAAAGGUGGGUAAUAAUCAUGGGUUAUAAUCAGAAUCUAAAAAGAAUUUCUUCCGAAUGAUUUAGCAUAUUGUCGUCAUAUCCAACAAAUUAUCCAUGUUCUACUUGUUCAUUUCUAGCAUUCUAUCAAAACACACGUCAAUGAUUAAAAAUUUCUCGAAUGUUAUGUUGUUUGUUCUCAUUUCCCUGGUUAUCUCAUUGACGUGAUUACGUCCACCUUCUGUAGUGUGUGCGUAAGGGAUCAGUUCCAUGCAAGGGGAAUGUUAAGUUAUACUUUUUAUAUGCAUUGCUUGACAAGAUUUCUAACAGCUUAAGCUUUUACAAAAAUUUUUAGUCUAACAUGCAGCAAUCAAAUCAAAUGACAUGACCAAUCAGCAAACCCUAUGUUCUUGUUUGGUUUUUUCUUCUAGUAACUGUGGGAGACUUUCAGAUAGGGAUUAUAAGCUUCUCAAAAAAUCAAUGAAUUACAACAAGAUUUAAAGCUUGGACAGUUAAAAGCCCCUCAUAUGCCAGCGAACUUUAGCUUAUUAAAUCUGUUAUUCAUAGUGUGGUUAAGUUUUAGCGUCAACUCCUUUUGUUGCCCAAGAAAGAUUUUAAAAUGGUUGGCAAAAGUGUAGAGCUUUUCUUUGGAAGGGAGAUUCUUAUACUAAAGAGGGAGCAAAAGUUAGAUGGGACACCGUCUGUCGUCCUAAGAAGUCUCAAGGCCUUGGCAUUCAAAGACUUGGCAUUCAAAGACUGGAUUUGUGAAAUCUUGCUUGUAUUUUAAAGUGUCUGUGGAGUUUUUUGUUGAAGUGAAGUCUCUAUGUUUUUCCUGGCUCUAUAGCUAUCAUCUUGACAGUAGACCACAUGCUACUUAUGCUUUGAAGAAGUUAUUAAGAGUUGAGAAUAUUUUGAAACCCCACAUUAGAUAUAUAGUUGGAAAUGGAGAUAAUAUUUCUCUUAAUUUGAUUUGUGACACCGUACCGGGAUCUUGCCCUCAAGGAGAAUAAUUUAUGAAUCCUCUCUUCCUUCGCAUGCCAAAGUAUCUGCCGUAAUUUAUAACUCUCAUUGGAAACAUUAUGUUACUUAAAAAGGGUGUUUUUAAUUUUUGCAGAUAGCAAUUGGGCAAAACAAGGGGCUGUGAAAAAUGCCCCUUCCAUCAUCAUCUCCUUCUCCUUUGUUGUCUGCACCUUAAUCACCUAUGCUUCAUCUCUCCGCUCCCUUGUCCUCAAUUUCAUCACUGUCUUCAUCUCAUGAAGAUGUCAUUAAAAUCAGGUAUCAAUCUUGCCAUUUACUACUACUCUCUACUCUUCUACUCGUGGUCACUUUUCUUCUCAGAUUUGGCAUCGGUUCCCCUAUCAAUUGAAAUGCUUCGCAUAAUUUCUUUGAUCCAGCAAAAAUGAAAUAAAAAUCUGGGAUGUUAUUAACAGACUGUUGCAAUUAUAUUUGGAUUCUCAGCUUAUUUCUGCAUUCUAUCAGUUUUCUGCACUCAUCCAAUUCUUUUGUCAUCACUGUGCUCUGUCUCAUUCUCCAAGAUUCCCUAAAUCUUGCUUGCCUUUCAGAUUACAUUGGAAUUCCAUUUGUGAAUUGUGUUGGUAAGACCCAGCGACCUAUAGAAAGGUCUAUAUGCCCUUCCUUCACCAUCGCCUCACUGGUAUUAAGUCUAGGAGGAGAAGAUGCUGAAGGGGACCCUGGAUGUGAGAUUGCUCCUCAUUGUAGAGACAAAGGGACAUGCCACUGUGGGCUCUAUUCUUAAGAUCUGACUUUUGUGGAAACUUUUCCAUGAUUAGUUGGUUCUCAAAUUACUCACGAAGAUAGGUAUGUAUACAUGUUUCCUUUCCCCAUUCAGUAAGUGUCUGUUUUGCCCUGACGUUAGAUGAAUCUAAAGUCUAGACAUAAUUUAUAUGAUAAGUUAAUAGCAAAGACAAAUUUGAAAAUGUUUGAAAAUUGCAUCUCCUUGAAAAAGUGUAGCUCAGAACUUCGGAUGGAUAGAGCAAGUUCAUGUCAUGUUAGGGUGCGUUUGUUUGCGUUUCUGUUUAAAAAUUGUUCCAGGGAACAGAAAUAGAAAAAAGUGUUUCUGUUCCUGGGAACAAUUUCUGAACAAAAAAAUGCGUUUGGUAAACUUGUUCCGGGAACAAAAAAUAAAUAGAAACACGUUUGGUAAAUUUGUAUAAUUUUUUUAUUUCUUUUAUUUUUUCUAUUUUUUUCUUAUUUUUCCUUUUUUCUUUUUUCUUCUUUUGGCCGGUCGCCGGCCUUGGCCGAGGCCGGCGACCGGUGAAAGAAAAAAGAAAGAAAAAGAAGAAAAUUUUCAAAAGUGUUUCUGAUUUGUGUUUCAGAAACAAGAAACACAAAAUUUGUGUUUCUUGUUUCUGUUUCUUUUUUGUUCCUGGGAACAAAAGAACAAAAAAACAGAAAACAGUGUUUAAAAACAAAAAAAAAGAAAUACAAACAGAGCGCAGCCUUAAUGGCAGUUAAGAUGCUUUAUAUCCUCUUUCCUGUUUUAGUCUGGAAACUCCAUUUGAACACGUUUACUAAGUUGUGGAAUGUGUACCUGACUAAUUUCCUUAUAUCUCUGAUUCUGAUAUGCGAAAAUUACUUUUGCAGCAUUCACCAGAAGUGGAAGGAACUCAGUACUGGCACAAAGUACUUAUUCCCACACAUGCAAUCUUCUCGUUUCUGAGCUUCCCUCUGAUGCAGAUCGAGAUCUAUGGGGGAAACAGAUUUAUUGUACCAUUCCAGCAUUUUACUCACCAUCCAAGAUUAAGGAAUGGUUUAGUCCGUUUGAGUACAGACACAAAUGAAGGCAUUUGGCAUCCCAGAUGGCACUCAAUCAAAUUUUUUUCUUGUUCAUUUUGAUUACUAUUCAAAUUCUGCUUCGUGGAAUCAAAGAUGCAUAGACCUGAAGUCGCUGGUUGGCAAAGUUUAAAGGGUAGGUAGAUUUGUUUCUGCUAUUUCUUUUGUCAGGCUGUUUGAAAGACACUGGUAAUGAUCAUGGGGUAUAAUCAGAAUCGAGAAGGAAUCUUUUCUCAAGGAUUAGCAUACUGUCUGCAUUCUUACUUGUUUAGUUAAAUUUCCAACAGAUUGUCCACUUUCUAGUUGUUCAUUUCUAAUGUUGUACUGAAGCACAUGCAAUGGUCCAAAAUUUCUUGCCUAUUAUGUUGUUUGUUCUCCUGUUCCACGGUUAUCUUAUUGACAUAAUUACGACCACAUUUUGUCGUAUGUGUCUAAGGAAUAGGUUCUACCUAAGGGGGAGUGUCAAGUUAUGAAUUAUGUAUACAUUGGUUGGCAUGUUUCCUAACAAGCUUUUAGGAAAUGCAACAUGCAGCAAUCAAAUCCGACAGCCUGACCAAUCAGCCAACCCUAUGUUCUUGUUUGGUUAGUUCUUCUAGUGAUUUGGGAUUGUCUGGAGGACUUUCAGAACAGGAUUGUUGGCAUUGAUUGAAUUACAAUGGGAUUUAAAGCUUGGACAGCUAAAAGACUCUCAUAUGCCAGCUGACUUCAGCUCAUUAAAUCUAUUGUUCAUAAUCUGGUUAACAAGUAGUGUCAACUCUUUUUGUUGCCCAAGAAAGUUAUUAAAAAGAUUGAGCAAAAGUGUAGAGCUUUCCUUUGGAAGGGAGAUCCUGAUGCAAAAGAGGGAUCAAGAGUUAGAUGGGACCCUGUCUGCCUUCCUAAGUAGUUUGGAGGCCUUGGCAUUUGAAGACUGGCUUUGUUAAAUCUUGCUUAUGUUGAAGUGUCUGUGGAUUAUUUUGUUGAGGUGUGGGUCUCUAUUUUUGCCUAGCUCUGUAGCUACCAUUUUGACUGCAAAGCAGAUGCUACCUUGGAAGUUAUUAAAAGUCAGGAAUACAAUGUAACCCCGCACCAGAUAUAUGGUGGGUGAUAGAGAUAAUUUGCUAUGAUUUGUGGCACCAUACUGGAAUCUUGCCAGAAUCAUUCUCAAGGUGAAGAAUUUAUGACCCUUCUCUUCCUCUGCAGGCCAAAGUAUCUGCUGUAAUUCAUGGCUCUCAUUAAAAGUAUCUGCUAGGUCUGAAGAGUUGGUUUCCAUCCAAGGUGCAGUUUGUGGUGUGAAUUUUCCUAAUUCCUCAGCUGCAGAUGAAGUUGUAUGCAAAGCUUCUUCAAACGGUUGCUAUAACUCCUUUGUUGCUUGCAAAAUUGUCAAAAGCAGGAGUAAAAUGUUGACUGGCACAAACUUGUGGGUUCUCCCCUAAUGUGCCAAGAGCUGGCUUUUUAUCUUGGUUGGUAAUACGUGAUAAACUCCCCACUUUUAAGAGGAUUUACGGUUGGUGUGUUGGGAGUACUAGAUCUCUCUGAUUGUUCUGUAAUAUAAGCAUGGAAUCUUGCUCUCAUCUAUUUUUCGAGUGUAGUUUCUCUAAUCAAGUAUGGAGCAAGGUGCUGCAGCUUUGUUGGAUUCAUGAAACUCCAAGAGUUUGGGAUUACGAAUUUGGUUUAAUAUAACAAGCUGCUCAGGGAAAGAUUUUCAGAAGUGUCUAUUAGAGUUUAUAUGGAACCACUGUAUCUGUUAUAUCUUGAGUCCAUGAAUAGUUUGUAUCAGAUACAGGUAGUUCCUUUGGGUUGUUGAUGUAAUCAAAAUUAUCAAGCUUGGAAUCUAAGAUUGCGAAAACUAUCCAGCUAAAGGUUUGUUUUUCUACCCAAAAAAAUAAAAAGUAAGCUUUGUUUUAAGUUGUGCUUAUUGUUGUUUUCCGGUGUGUAUAGUUGCAUGUUUUUGCUCCAUGUCAUCUCUAUGCUUGUGAUGGCAGACGGAUGUCAACUUCAAUCACUUGUUUGGCGUCCAAUCUUCAUGAGUUCCAAUUUCUAUGUUACUGGCCUUCUCAUUUCUCCAUAUAGUUAUUAAGGAAGAAACCCAAUUAAUGAAAGGGAUCUCCUUUUCGGCUUCUUUUUUCCGUUCCAAGAGAGACUUUACAGCAUUUUAGUCUUUCUUUUUCUAUUUUCGAUUCAUAUUAAUUUCACUGGGUUGCAUCUGCUAGAAAUUCUACGUCCAAAUUGAUCUUCUGCUUGUAAUUCUUCGUCUUAAUUUCGUCUUCAUUUUAAUGAAGAGAUAAAUUUGGAAUCAUUGAUGGUGUUUGUGCUCGUGCUUACGUUUAUCCAACAGAAAGCAAGUUUGCCGAUGAAGGCCUUCCGAGAUCCAGCCCACGUCUUUGACAUGAAAAUCCAACUUAGGAAGUACUUUGCCCACUUGAAACUCGGGGCCUUUAAAUUGUCAAAAAACACUAAAAGAUAAUUAAAGUAGGAAAUAUGGUGAUGACAUGGUUAAAUUGGUAGUCUUACAGCGUAGAAUUGGGAAGAUUGUGCGUACUUGCUGUCAUCAUAUUUUCGAAGUCUAUAUAAUGACUUCUACUAGCAGCGUUCUUAGAUCAAUCCUAGUAAUAAAUACAACUCGUUAUUUAUGAAAGUGAUUUUUUUAGGUUCGUUUGGUUUUUUUUACUGCAAGUCUUUGUAUUAUAAGGUCUUGUUGCGAGAAAAGAAAGCGGAAUAGAAGGAAUGGGAGAAUUUUGCUAAUAAUUCAAUUAAUGUGCAGGAAAAAAGCCAAGAAUAAAAGAGAAAAAAAUAUAUAUCAUUGUGGGAGAAUUUGGGGUUAAAAAGUUGACAGUAAAGCGUUAACAAGUACUGGUCGCAUAAAGUUGCAACGAUGAGUCUCAACUUUUCGUAUAUUUACUCACAAAUUUCACGAUCACCCCUAAACACAUGGAUUACUAAUCACGGAAUUAUGAGGACUCAGAUAAGAAUGAAGGAUUUCAUCUCCCUCGAGAAGUACAGAAAAACCCUAUUAGAAGGUCCAUAUACCCUUCCUUUAUCAUCGCCUCACCGGUGUUAAGUCUAGGAGAAGAUGCUGAAGGGGGACCCUCGUUUUACUUAACGUGCAAUUUGCUAGAUGAAAUCUAAAGUCUGCACUUAAUAUAUAUAUGACAAAUAAAUAGCAAACACGAGUUUAUGUAACAUCCCAACAAAUGUGCUGGUACAGUGAUAAAGAGGCGAAGUGAUCGGGUUGACCCAAGAAAGUUGUAAGGCCACAUGAACAAAGUUCAAGUGAAAGCUGUGAGGCCACAUGUACAGUCACAUAUAUAUAUACAUAUUUGUUCUUUUCCCCACUUUUGAUAGUUUUAUUGUCCAUGAAGCGAACUUCAGAAAAUUCGAAAAACGUUGAAAAAUCCGUAAAACGUUUUCCUAGAAGUUAUAUUUCAUGAAUCGAAUGAAACUCAAUGCUCUAUUUGUUUUUAUGGAAAAUGAAUGAUUGAGAAAAUAUUUUUCUAUAAAUAACCGCUUAUAUUGUUUAAAAUAAUUAGUCAAUGAAAAAUGUUUUCAGUAUUGAUAAUAAUUUAUUUUUAAACAUUUCUGUGAAAGGUGAAUAUUAUUUUUAGGAAAAUAUUUUUCUAAUCAUUCUUUUCUCGCGAAACAAAUGGAGUCUUAAAAAAAUGACAAGUCCUAUUGGAAAGUCAGAGACAACUGUAUAUAACUCAAAGAAACUGGAAGGCCGAUGGUUCGUAACGAAAACUUCAAUAAAACAACAAAAUAAGGUGGUGGAUAUACAGGAUAUCUUCAUGGUUGGAAAGUAACGAUGGGCUAUCUACGAGGAUGCUCCGUUUGUCUAAAACAGAAUUGCGGGAAAAUGAAGGAUCAAUGAUUUGCAUCAACAACUUGCGAUCAGAAUUCACACUGAACUCAUUCCAACAACCUACAUCGCUAACCAUCCAGCAUAUCGAGUCACUUAUCGGAACAACACGCUUCUGAAGAAAAACAAAUCAUCUUCGAACUACAAAAGAAAAAACACGCCCGCAAAGGCCAAUUCAAUAAGACAACCACGUGAGAAAUUUAGCUCCAUUACAAGACAGUUCUUUUGUUUCUUGGGCCAAGUAAAAUGAAUGAACCAUCUAGUUUCCCAGUUACGGUGAUUGAGACGCUUAAUAUGGACAGAGUAUCAAAAGCACAAACGUCAAGAGAAGUUUCAAACCCCCGGGGCAUAUAUACGGAUUCAACGAGAUAGAGAGCCAGAAUUAGAAGAAAAUGAGGGCAUCCUAAUGAGAAAUCUAUCCAAACCUUCACGCAAACGACCCACUGAAUCCAGUAUCCACAACAGGAUCAAAGCAGCACAAUUCAACAUCAGACAGCGUCACCGUCUAAGUCAAACACAUGAAUGACGCCGACCUGAAUUGCGAUUCAACGUGAUGAGAAACCCUGACCUGAGACGGAUUGCGAGGAGCUGGAUUUCCAGAUUCUGGCUCCAUGAACGGAGUUGUCAAGCCGGAGAACUCUCUCUAUCUGGAGUGAAACGGUAUUACCAGUGCGUUUUAUGAACCCUCGAAUUAUUCUAAGCUUGGCCGACCAAAACAUUACGCAGAAAAAGAAGUCGAAUCAUCCAAGAAAAUCAUCUGAUGGUGGCAGGAAGAGGAAAGCGAUCGAGAAAUUCCUUUGGCAGCCGCGUCACCCUGGACGCGUGAAUCAGCACGACAAACAAGAUGGAAAACAACUCUGGAAAACAGAGAAAUUCCUUCGCAGCUGCGUCAUUCUUAUGUUAUUACACGGAUUAAGCAUGGCAUAUGUGUUGAAUUCUCACAUUCACUAUUUUAGCUCUCUCCAUUAUAUAUUUGUCUUCUGUGAAUGGAAUGGAGUACCGUUGGUAUAAUUGUCCACAUAAUCAGACGGAUUUGAGUUUUACUUUUAAUCCCUAUGAUAAGAAUUUAAAGUGUUAUUUCUUUUAAUUUUUAACUAACUGCACCCUCAAUUGGCUAGUUAGUAAAUGCCUGUGUACCCCCUUUGAAUGGCUGGAAUUAUCAUUUGACUUUACCGAAAAAAGGGCACAAGCUUAUGCAUUUACCCAAAAAAAAAAAAAACGAAAAGAGUAAAAUCUAAAUUUAAUAGGCGGUAUCGGCGGAAAACUUUUAACUCGAAGAGACUGGAAAUGUGAGGAAAAAAAUUGGAUGUCAAUGAGCUACGGUUAUAUUAAGUUAGAUUUGUAAUCUACAUCAUCUUACUCGAAAUUUUAAUCAUCACGUUCAAUUUACUGCAAUAUUAUGAUUACACUAAACAUGAGGCAUAAUUGAAAUUUAGAUGGAUUAUUACCUUUAAAAGUAGGAUCUCCCUUUCCUUGUAGUAAUAUGAAGAGACCGUGAUACUCAAUAUCUAAUGGAUAAAUUAUCUCCUUCUGAAUUUAUUGGCCCCUCUGUUCCCUUUUGCCAUCCAACUUCGGGCAAUUAAGCCUAAUCUAUCCUUGAGAGCAUUAGACCAUGAAAGAUCGAUGACUAUGUGGGUCUCUCAAUUGCUGGUUUUGCACAUAAUUGUUAUAUAAAACGGUACUAAUAAAGGCGAAAAUUGGCAAAAUUAUUGAGCCAGUAUGUAGAGACACAAAUUGGUGUCCGCCUGGUCAAGAUAAUGAGAGCAUUUGGGUUUUUCUAAAGACUGAAAGGAAAUAUAUAUACUCAAGAAACUGUCUCUUGAUAAUGUGAGACUAGUGUUGUCUUUAAUCUCGUUUUGUUUUAUUAAUGAAUUGUUUCAUCAUGAGCAUGGCAAGCAGAAUCACACUUUUGGCGAGAGCACGAAUAUGCUUGGAUGACUCAACUUUGUCUCGAGUUUCAUGCUCUCUAGCGAUAUCUCAAGUUCAUGUUUUCACAUGAGAGACGACUUAUAAAAUAAAAGGAAUAAAAAGAAAGUAAGUCUUAUCCUUUACAAAAGUUAGACAUGACAUAUGGACGUAAGACCAGACAUUUAGCAAUGAACCCAUCAUUGACCCAUCAAAGGACAUGUUUAAAUGUUACAAAAAAAAUGAGGUCUUCCGAUCGUAAUGAUAAUCUCAAGUUAAUACGUAUAAAUGUGAUGUUAAGUCCUAUUAUAUCUUGGUGCUUUUUGCCCCUCCAAGCGCCUUAUCAUAACCUGUGGAUCUCCAUUGGAGUAUUCGUUGGUUGGGUUAAACCUAAAUCCAACCAAGAGAUUCCGCAUAUAAUUGUUGGUGAUCAAUAUCUCACUCUCAAUUUUGAUAUCAUCCAAUAAAAGAAACAAGUGAAAGAAAAGUAUGGUGAAGUGAUUGGAUUAGACGUCCCACCGACAUUUGCAAAUUGAUCAUAAUAUAAUGAUUUUGAUCCGAACACUCUGCGAGAAGGGCGUUUAACCUGAAUGAUCCAACCAACAUUUGCAAAUUGAUCUGAGUACAACGGCUUUGGUCCAAACACUCUGUCCCAUGUUAUGGGUUUCCGGCAACUACAGAAAUCAUCCGGGAAUCAGUAUUUUAAGAUAACCAAAGGUAACACAUGAAGAAGCACUUGGUCCAUGAUAUAGAGUCGCACGUGAUUGCAGCUGGAUAGCUUUUGAAGAAUGUAUAUAUCUCCAUGAUUUGAUUAAUGUUUCAUCUAUUAUAUUAUACGAAAUUUAAAUCAGAAAACGAUGAGAAGGCUGUAGCUGCAGUAUCUAUGAAAUAAUUUUCUUUCCAUCCUCUUUUUUGGAGAUUGAUCACAGAUUAGAGAGUUGUGACCAAUCUGUAAAUGUGUGCUACAUUACAUAUGUUGGCGAGAUAGGAAAGUUACUGAAGUCCUAAACUGGAGUGAAAUGGAGACGGCAUUUGGUGGACUAAACAUGUUAGGAAUGGGGGAACUAGAAAGAACAGAUUUCAAGUAUUUAAAUGACUGGCUGAGGAUAAUUUCCGAGUCGUGGUAUUAUGGUCACCCUCCUUACGCCCUUCAAAAUCCACAAUAGAGGAUACAUAAAUCAACUCUAUGCAAUUGCACGGAAACAAUGUUGAUCAGGUUUGAGCUUCGCCGGCAAAACCGACGUUCAUUUUUGUGGAAAAUCAUCUCAGGGAUCGAAUUGGUCCUCAAUGGCGAAACCUGACUCCUUUCAUCUAAUCCUGCAUUCAUUCUCUCUGCCUAGCGUCCUUUGCAUUUCGAAUUAGGGACGUCGAAGUUUCAAGACCUUGUUGGAUCCGGCGACAAAAAAAUUUCACCAAUGAAGACCCAGAGGCUGGUCAAACGUCAACAGCCCAGUUUGAUCUUAAUGGAUGCAAAGAAAAGAACAAGACGAGCUCGGUCCGAGAAAAGCCCCGCUUUGAUGGAUCUGGCUCUUCAUUAUUUUUUUAUUUGUUAUUUAUUAUAAAAUAAUAAUUUAUUUAUUAUUAUAAGUAUUAUUAUCUUAAUUUUUUUUACAAAGGAUGCAUGUUUGACCACCAUCGCGACGCAAAUGAGCAUUUUCCACAAUAUUAUGAAUAAUUAAAUGAGAUAGUACCAUUUUAGUCAAAUCCACAUUCAAUGAGAUUUUUUUUUUUUUUUUUUUUGGGUUGGUGAAUUCAAUAGGAUUCAAAAGUGUCAACAUAAUAUAAAUUUAGAACUCUCUUCCACAAGUUGACAGUUAUGGAAAAAUUAUGUGAAGUGCGUCUUUGGGUAAUGUGAUAAAUAUAACUAAUUAAAGUGUAGAAGCUAUAUGAACGUUUUUGUUUUUUUUUUAAUAAGAUCCAGUUUAGAAUCUGGAAAUUCUUGAAAUGUGAUUAUCUUGAUCUAGUAAGUGCAAUUUAUGCAAGGUCACUCAUGCAGCAAUGCCUAUAUGUUUGGUGUGUUUUUCAUGUAGUUGUGCUGGUUGAACACUUGUGGUCUUGGGACUAAAAGGAUGCCCAAAUUUCAUUUGUUUGAUCGUUGUCAUCGUCAUCAUUAUUCUUGCUAUCUCUUUUAGCAUUUGUUAGGCAAAUUUUGGAGGAAGCACCGGCAAUCAAAACUUAACAGAUCUCUUGGAUCUUGACGCAUAUGGUCAACUUAAGACCAAUCCUUGCUUUUCUUCUUCUUCUCGUGAUAGUAAUAAAUAGCUUAACUCAAGCCUUUGGCUCUCACAAGUAGCAUUGCUUGAGUCGGUUCUUAGUUGGAUGGUAAAUUAAGCCAUGCAAUGGACAUGAACAAUAAAUGCAUUGUGGUAGAUUGAAUCCUAGCAAGAUUUUUUUUUGGGUAGAUAUGUGAUUCGGGGAUGGACUAGAUGGCCUUUAGUCAAUCCAACAAAACGGUGAAUGAUUGUUGAGACUUAAAAGCUUGAAAAAAUGUGGCUCUUAGUAGAAUAGGAAAUGUUACUGCCCAACAUGAGUUGACAAUGACAAGGAAACUAGAAUUAUAAGUGGAAGAAUUUGCGACACUCCAAAUCUCACGUAAGAUGGGAAAGAACUUGAGAUAUAAGUUGAAACCUACUCCCAAGAAUCACCAUCUAUAUUCUUUUUUAGGGAGAUUGGCCCCGCUGAAUGCUCCAAGUCAUUACAUGUGUUCAUUUAGAUUGAGGAAUUGUCACUACCCAACAUGAGUUGACAACAACGAGGACACUAGAAUUAUAGGUGGAAGAGUUUGUGACACUCCAAAUCUCACAUAAAAUGGGAAAGAACUUGAGAUAUAAGUUGAAACCCACUCACGAGAAUCACCACUUGUAUACUUUUCUAGGGAGAUUGGGCCCGUUGAAUGCUCUAAGUCAUUACACGUGUCCAUUCAAAUUGAGUAAAUUUGUGUCCUCAUGUAAUAUUUGAUGGAGCAAAAUGAAGAUAAGAAAUUCCCUAAAGUUAGUCCUAAUGUAUCGCAUUAGAAAGUUAAUUCUAGACCCAAUCAAUAAAAGAUCCGCUCUAAAUGUGGACCGAUUGGUACUAUUUUUAAGGCAGCAGGCCCGACCCACAAGAUCACAACCUUAAGGUCAAUGAGCAGAUCAAUCCCUGAUCCAUGCUAAUGGUCCGAGAACAGAAUAAUAGGAACGACAUGUUAAUUAGAAUUGAAAAAUCAUUGUUCUAAAGAGCAUGAGAAACAUUGCACCAAACUGAAAUUAGAAUUAUUCAAUCGCAUCGUUGCCAAAUGCCAUGUCUUUCUUAGGGCUCCUGUGAAGUAGCUCGCAUCAUUAUCUACUAGUGAGAAGUGAAUAAUUCAACUUCAUUUGCGAUUAUCAUAUUUUUCACUUCUAGGAAGACUGUUUCUGAGGUGUUUUUUCGUACAAGUUCAGUGAAUAUUUCGAUUAUUUAGUAUUCAUUUUUUUUUUAGCAAUGAUAAUCAAGAAAACUGUAAGGGCAUGUAGAUUACUUUCUUGAGUUUGACUUAUAUGUAUUUUCUUAUGUUGGCUGACUUUUGUGACCAUCUACUAUUAACUAAGUCAGCAUGAGAUUUAUAACACAUUUAAAUAUCUUGCAGAUUACUUUUUUUUCCAAUAGUGAAAUUUAAAUUCUCAAAAAUAAAAUGUAUGUGUUGAGGUGUGAAAACUUCAAUCGAUCGGCGCACGGGUCAAAUUCUAGUUGUCUUAAAAGCAAGAGCAAUUACUCGGUCUUCUUCACUUUACUUAAUAAUGAAAUGUUUUUUCAAAAAAUGGUCAUACAUGUUCCAGGGAAAAAUUAGUACAAUAAUUUUUUGUUAAUUGAUUAGUUAGCGCCCUAAAGGUAAUUCUUUUGAAAGACAGUUAUUUUUAUUGAAAAGAACCUAGGGUUAUUGGCUCAACAUGUGAAACAUGCUCCUUUUUAACCGCAGGGAAAAUAUUAUUGUCCUUAGAGUAGGACUUGUAGAGUACUUUGGACCUUACAUGGCCACGUGAACCACGCCAUGUUUUUAGUUGCAAAUUACUCGCGACAUCGAUGUUACAUUGGAAAAAGAGAAAAGAAAAGUAAAAGCAAAAGGACGGCAAUAUUAUUGCCCUCUAAGUAGGGGUGAGCAGUGGUUUAGAGUCGACUUUGGACCGACCCUGGACCGGCCCAACUCUGCCGGUCCUGGUCCGGUUCCCAAGGGGACUGGGUCGGUCCUUGGUCCUGGAAUUCCAGGACCAAUACUGUGCGAGUUGGUCCUCGGUUCUGAGAGUUUUGGGUCGGUCCAACCCUGGACCAACCCUGUUUAUUAUAUUAUAUUAUAUUAUAUUAUAUUAUUUAUAAUUCUUUUAUAUAUUCAAACCUAAGUAAAAUUUAUGUUAUAUUAUAUUAUAUAUAAUUCUUUUAUAUAUAUAUUAAAACCUAAGUAAAAUGAUGUUAAAGUUGUUGAUUCCUCAUGCUCAUAGUCAUGGACAGACGGCAUCCAAUUCCAAAAGGCGUGAAGUUUACGCUGUAAAGGUCUUCACGGCCUCCUCCUCCACAGUCUAGACUCCAGAGUACAUUAUUCACCAUGAGGACCAAGGACUCCUCAUAGUCAUGGACUCGCGACGUCCAAAAUGACGCGAAGUUUAUGCCGUAAAUCUCCUCAAGGUUUUCUUCCCUAAAGUACGUUCUCUUCCAUUUUGUCUUCUUUGUUCUUCAAUUUACCAAAAUCAAAAGUAGCAACAUCCUGCUCGCCUCUGGUUGCCCGCGCCACUCACCUUUGACCGUGCGCGCUGCUGUGCGCUCACACUCACACUCGCCCUUUGCUGUGUCGCUAGCCUUGCUAAUGCUCGCCACUCACCACUCGCUGCUAGUCUCGCUCAAUGCUCGUCGCUUGCUGCUGGCAUCACUAAAUGCUUGCCGCUGGCCUCACUAAACGCUUGCCGCUUGCCAGUUGACGCUCACCCCACUCAACACUUGACACUUGUGCUCGCCACUCGCGCUGGUUGCCUCACUUAUCACCGAGUAAAUCAAAAGGAAAAAAGAAGAAGCCCUAAUUAGAAUGCUCAGCUUGCCCUUGCUUUCCAAACACAACUUGACUAGUGAUAUCUACUUUGUGCUUCAUUUGAGAUCUUGUAUUGGUAUUUAUAGUUUGGUUGCACAAUGCCACAUUGUCGAUGGAUGUGUAAUUUGAAUUUGUAGGUUUACUUUUUUAAGGAGUAUAAAAAACAAGACGAAAUAAAUUAUCGAUCAGUCCCGGGUUGACCCUGGAACUGAACCGAACUCAUUGGGUCGGUCCGGUCCUUGGUCCCAGGCUCAAUAGGGUCGGUCCUCGGUCUUAAAAAUUGAGGACCGACACUGUACGGGUUGGUCCUAGGGUUAGGGGGUGGCCCGGACCAACCCGGACCAUGCUCACCCCUACCUCUAAGGACCUAUAGUGGAUGGGGGACCUUAUAAUUGAGUCUUUGAUGCUUCCUAUCUGAAUAAAAUAACUGAUGGACAUGGAAGAUGUGAAAAGGCGAGGAAGGUCCUAAGUUCAUAAAAGUUCAUCCUAUCAAACGUCCCUUGUCACCAACCAAACAAAAAAAUGAAAGAAAAACGUUGUAUAUCCAUGUAAAAAGUAUCAUAUUUCUAACUAUAAAUGAUUCGUGACGUUAGCAUCAUUUUCAAAGAAAAAGGCAAAAGGACAAGCAUACAUUAUUGUCCUCGAAGGACUUGUAGUGGAUUUUGGACCUUAUUCGUGUCCGAUUAAAGCAAUGAUGGACAUGUGACGUGUGAAAAGACCAAGAUGACCCUAGAUUUGCAAAAGCUCAUCCAAAAAUUUCGAAGUAAGAAGGAUAUCAUUGUCAUAAUAAUUGUAGGAUGCCUAUUUUAGUACCAAAAUUUUUCAAAUAGAAAAAUCACCAAUUCAGUCCUAAAGAGGUCUAUUGUACAAAUUGAAAUAUAGUCUUUCAUCUUUCAAUUUGACCAAUGUAGUUUUUCUAAUUAAUACUUGCCCGAAGUUGUUGACAUGAUGGUCCAAUUAUCAUCAAUCAUCUUUCAUGGCAAACUGGGGAUCUAACAUGGACAAAUUUCGACUAUGAUUAAUAGAUACUACCUAAUCACAAACUCCAUUAGCAUUUUUCGGCCAAGAAUUUGGAUUUAUUAUAUUACUAAUAUUAUAAAUUCAAGUUAAGAAUAAAACUUCUGGUGAAAAAAAAAAUCAAGAAUAAAAUGAAAGAUCUUGAUCACCGAAUCACAAUCAAACUUACCCCUUUUGAGUAUACCAAUUCAACCAAUUGAUGUGAAGAUAUAAUAUUCAAUAUUGAAGCUUUGAAGAAUGGUGAUAUUUUAAUAAUGUUCAUAUCACUAAGCCACCUUUCCAAACUCACUGCUUAAACUACCUAACUUCUAUGGUUGUGUUUGGUCAUGUCUUAAUAAGCUAAUGUUCGAUAUAAUAGCAUUUGGUCGAAGUGAAUUCUCCAUCAAUUUUCUCAUGCUCAAUUUCAUGUUUGAAGGAUGAUAGAUCUUACCAUGCACUACGAUAAAUAUUUUCGAGUCUAAACUACUUAAGCUAAGUAAAAAAACGGAGGAGCUGAGUAUCAAAUCAGUCGGUAGUCAAAACAAUGAGUCAAUUUGUCGAAAUAUCACCGAUGUUAGUUGAUGAUCUCCAUUUGUGGAGAUGACUAAAUUCGCGGUCAAAUAGAGUGAUAUACCGAAUUAUAUAACAUAUUGCAAAUGGACCUUUAAACAAAUGGUCAUAUGCAACAUUAAAGAGAAGUUUGACAAGCUCAUAAUAUUCCAAUUUUAAUAAAUUGGCUUGUUAUUUUGCUAUCAUUGAAAGGGCCAAGACACUAUUUGUUGGAGAAACGGGAGGGCAAGAUUACACUCAAUCUUGGCCUUUCCUGAAGUUAAAGGGCAGGGCAUGGUCCGGGGGCUGAACAAAGCAUUGAUGGAUAACUUGCGACUGCUUGCAUUGACGAUGUUUGUGAGCUCCAGGUCCUUUUUCGACGUUGCUUGCGAGAUGGAUGACGACUGCUUCAAUUUUGACCCAUGGUACCAAAGAGUCGAAAUGCGCUGAGUGGGAGGUUUUUUUUUUUUUUUUUUCUGGAAUAAGUUAAGGAUUUUUGUUUGAGACUUAGAUUGGAUUUUGACCGAUGGUAAAAAUAAUGGAAAAAAAUAUCAUCUCUAUUUUGUAAAUGAUCGUACUAGACACAAUCGCUAGUUUGGAUUAACCGGUCCCUACAACUACAGAAAGCGAAUGCCAACUAUAGAGCGAUAAGAAUAUUAUGGUUGCCCUAUCAACAUCAACCUAUGGAUGGACAUGCUCCUUAUCGAAAGAGGUAAGUUUUCUUUUAGAAGCCAGAAUGAGUUCACUCUUGAUCAUAACAAGUGUUUACUUGAUCCUAAGAAUGAUGCAGUUGGCCUCUAAGGACCGCGCACUUGACCUAAACGAGAGCAUGGAUCAUGACGAGAAGCAUGCACUUCCCUCAUGCACAUCACCCUACAGAGCAUGCACCUUAUCCAUAAUAGGACUGCGUUUUAACAGGGGCCUCGUAAUUUCUCCAUAAACAAUGAUCUUUUACAUCCUGCCCUUUUUUUUUUUUCUGGGUCAGAUUGACACCAUGUCCUUAACUGGUUCAUGAAAUGGCGGCCAGACAACAACACGAAGUACUGUGCCACGGAGAGGGAAGAAGUACAAGAUGACAAGAUUGAAGGUACAUAAAUAUUAGUACAAAAAGCAAUUUAUCGAAUACCCUGUCAAUGAAGGAUAUUUCAAUGACACUAUCGAACCGAGACAAUUCGUGAUUCAUCAGUUGCGCGAAAACCAACGAGGAGAACUUUUCUAAAUUCCACAAGGAGCCUCACCACCUAUUAUUUCUAAGCAAUGACACUAUUGAACCGAGACAAUUCGUGGCCCGUCAGUUGCGCAAAGACCAACAAGGAGAACUUUUCUAAAUUCCACAAGGAGCCUCACCACCUAUUAUUUCCAAGCAAUGACAUUGUCGAACCAAGACAAUUCGUGGCCCAUCAGUUGCGCGAACACCAACGAGGAGAACUUUUCUAAAUUCCACAAGGGGCCUCACCACCUAUUAUUUCCAAGCAAUGACACUGUCGAACCGAGACAAUUCGUAGUCCAUCAGUUGCGCGAAGACCAACAAAGGAGAACCCUUCUAAAUUCCACAAGGAGCUCACACCUAUUAUAUCCACUCAUUUCGUCUUAACCACCACCUAUUUAUUAUCCACUCGUUUGUCCUUAACUAGUAGAAUCUCGCAUGCGUGGCACAUGUUAACACAAUACAUAUCUAUAACGACGUACAUAAAUCAAAUUUGAAUUAAAAAGAUUCGAGAUUCUUUAUUUGACUUCUAAGUGUCAUUAAGUAAGGGAUAUUUCCGCAAUUUUCAAGAGAAUUAUAAAAAAAGAAGAAGCAAAGUGACAAUUUCUCUUAUAAAUCAUACAUAAUGAGACAAUUCAUUAUUUAUAAAAUCUUUUGAAAAAUCUUUGAAUUUUCUUCAACAUGAAAUUAAAAAACACUCAUGUGAGAAAAGGAUAACAAUAACAUACAAACUAAAAUAAAAUAGCAAAGAAAUUGAAAAGUAUAAUAUAUGGAGAAAGAGAGGGAGUAAUUAAUAAAUUAUUUGUGCAAAAGGGCAAUGAAAAUAGAGAAGUAAUAUAUUGGCAUCUUCGGGUGGUUAAUAAAUGUUUUGGAGAUGAGUGAGUGAAUAUUAAAAAACGUUUAGAGAGUUUAGGGUUGGCAUAUUACUACGACGAUCUGGAAUCGUUCUCUCUGAAAUAUGAUAACUAAUGAAACUCCCUAAAAAAAGAAAAAACUUAGGUUAUUUUGUUAUUACGCCAUGCUACGAUUGUACGAAGUAGACAUUAAUAUUAACAUGAAAUUGUCAUAUCAAACAAACUUAGACACGUUCCUUGAUCAAUUGUUAUAAUUUUUUUUAUGAUUCAAAUAUCCAUCAAACUUCUCUCAUAAAGGCUUUCUUGAUGACAAUAGAAGGGCUUCGUUAUGUCCCUAAACCAUCAUUUCUCACAAAAACUUGUCUCGAAAAGUGCAAUCGAGUCCUAAAACUUUCCAAAAGUGCAAUUAAUGGAAGGACUUAGAUUGAACCACUUUGAUUAGUUUUAGGACUUGAUUGCACUUUUUUUUUAAAUUGUAGGAGUUAAUUGCACUUUGUGACAAGUUUUAGGAUUUAAUUGUAUUUUUUGAAAGUUUUAGGACUAAAUUGUAUUUUUAUGACAAAUUUUAGGAUUUUUAAUACACUUAUUUCUAUAUUUAUGUAUAGAGUCCUGAAAUCUGUACGAAUUGUCUUGCAAAUAACAGUAACAAAUAUUCUCGAAAAAGCAACCUCUUAAUUCGGUAAUAAAAAUGGUUUUAAUCGAUGGUAAAACAUACCCCAUGUAAUCCAAAAUCAAGUCAUCGUGUACGUAUAAAUAUUGUAGCCCCGGAAUGGAAGCUUUUUAUUUAUUUAUGCUGAUUGUGCACAUAAUAGAAAGAAUAAUGAUGAGGUGACCGCACCGUUACUCCUUGGAGAGUAACGUUGCUCCCCUAACCACAAGCUUAGAUUAAAAAAAUAAAUUAAAUAAAAUAGAAAAAUCCUAAGGAAUUGAAAAGAGUUUUAUUGAAAGCAUUAUCAACAUGAAAUAUUUUAUAUUUCAUGUAGAAAGACCAGUCCAAACAUUUUUAUUAUAAGACAAAUAAAUUUAGGAUUUCUAUUGACAACAUCACUAUUUAAAACAUUUUUCAUACUUACAGUCGUAAAAAAUUAUAUUCAUCAUUUAACAAAAUUAAAACAAUUACCAAAAUUAGCCCUUGAAUAUUUAUUUAUACAAUUUAAAGCAUUUAUGAAUUCAACUUAAGCCAAACCAAUCCAAGUUAACUCAAAAACCAAAAACAUGAUCAUUUUGUAACUAUCCAAAAUUGAAAUUUAUUUUAAAAUGUAUAGUAUAUUGAAUUUGUUUGAUUAAUUAUUUUGCCUCACUUCCCUUUUUUAUAUUUUGUAUAGCCCAACUUUUUCACCAUGCUAGUCAAAUUUCAAUUUAUCAUAUCUUAACUAAAUAAGUAUAUAUUGUGUCUACAUUCAACUGAUAUAACUAGUAUAAGCACCUAGAGAGGGGUGAAUAGGUGUAAAAAUAAUUUCUCGAGAUAUGAAAGCAAUACUGGACUAACAACAUAAAGGAAGCUUUCCUUUAGUUAACAAAUCGAACUAUGAUCAAAGUAAAACGAAGAGUAAGGAAGAGAAAAUUGAACACAAGGUUUAUAGUGGUUCGGCUUAUUUCAAGCCUACGUCCACUAUUCUGCAUUGACAGCCCACUGGCUGGAUUUCACUAUGAACAAAAGAGAUAUUACAGCACUCAUUUCCCUUGAUUCCACAGUGUAGAUAUUCUAUCACACUUCCUCAAGGUAUCUCAAAGUAUAGACUCUCUUUUGCGUACAAGAUUUCACUCAGCAAAUGAAUUGACUAAGAAUCAAAGAGCUUCAGACUUUGGAAUUCUUCUAUCGUACACCUUUUUGAACAACUGGAACGUCUUUCUCUUAUACUCCUUUAUGUCAUCAUACCCGUUGGCACUUACCAAAUGAAUUCUUCCAAUCCUCCCGUUGGACAUAAUCAAUUAAGAAGAUUAUUCAAGCUAUUAAAGGAGCAUUUCGAUAGCCCAUUUAGCUCAUUCUCAUUCAUCUUGUUCCUGAAAACCCAUUUAGCUCCAAUAAUAUAUUUACCUUUUGGUUUAUGAGUCAACUCCCAGACAUCAUUAAUGCUGAAUUGUAUGAGUUCUUCUUGCAUAGCUUCAAUCCAGCUUUCGUCAGAUAAAGCUUCUCUUUUGGGUUCUAUUUCAGAAAUAAGAGCCACAGCACUAGACUCUUCGCGCCUUUUGGAUCUUGUUUGAAUUCCUUCAUUAAUGUUGCCAAUAAUGAGGUCUUUGGGAUGACUGGACUUAUGCUUCCAGUUACUAGUUGAUUGGUCAGGUUGAUGAUCACUUCCUUCAUUUGAAUCUUCAAUAACCAUUUGUUGCUGGUUUCUUAAAGUCUGAGCUGCUUUUUGAGAUUUAGACUUUGUAAAGUCUGGAGCAGGUUCAGAUUCUUCAAGAUGAGUCUGAGCAGAUUCAUUUUGCAUAGAAUCCUGGAAUUUGACAUUCAUUGAUUCCUCCACAUAUUGACUCUUCUUGUUAUAGACUCUGUAGGCUUUGCUUGAGGAAGAAUAUCCAAGAAAGAUUCAUUCAUCUGAUUUUUCUUCAAACUUACCAACUCUAUCAUUUGCAUUUUUCAAUAUAAAGCAUUUGCAUCCGAACACAUGAAAAUAUGAAACAAUAGGCUUCUUUCCUUUGAAUAUCUCAUAGGGGUUUUUUUUUUUUUUUUCAGAAUAGGCCUUAGAAAAACUCUAUUUAUAAUGUAACAUGCUGUUGAAACUGCUUCAGCACAAAAACAUGAAGAGAUGUUACUUUCAAUUAAAAGAGUUCUAGCCAUUUCUUGAAGUGAUCUGUUCUUUCUUUCCACAACUCCAUUUUGCUCUAGAGUAUAUGGAGAUGAGAACACAUGCUGAAAACCAGAUUCAUCACAGAAUUUUGUAAAAUCAUGAUUUUCAAAUUCACCUCUAUGAUAUGUUCAUAUACUUGAGAUAACAUACUAUUUUUCAUUUUGAAUAUUUUUUUGCAAACUUUUCAAAGUAAGAGAAAGUUUCAGACUUACUUGCCAGGAAAUAUACCCAAGUAAAUCGUGAGUAAUCAUCCACAAUUACUAGGCAAUAUUUCUUACCUCCAAUACUCUAAGUUCUGGUAGGUCCGAAAAGGUCCAUAUGCAGAAGCUGCAGUACACGAUUAGUGGAAACUUGAUUUAUUGGUUUAAAUGAAUUUCUUACAUGCUUUCCCAAUACGCAUGGUGUACAUAGAUCAGACUUUUGGUAUGAUAAUUUAGGUAGACCACGAACAAGCUUCUUUGCUGAAAUUUUGGCUAUUUGCUUCAUAUUGAUAUGCCCAAGCUUUCUGUGCCAUAAGCUUGCUUCAUCUUGAAUUGAGAUUAGACAUUGCGAUUAAUCUGGUUUCACAUCCAAGAGGUAGAUAUUCCCAUGUCUUCGGCCCAUGAAUGACUGAGUAGAGUCUUUACUGAUUCCUGAACAUAUUCCCUCUUGAAAAUUGAUUUUGAAACCAGUGUCACACAGCUGACUGAUACUAAGCAGAUUGUAGUUGAGUCCUUUCACUAGGGAAAUAUUGCUUAUUGUGAGGUUUCCAAUUUUUACAGUUCCAAAUCCCACAAUUCUUCCUUUGCUGUUUCCUCCAAAUGAGACUUUUCUACCAUUUACUUUAACGAGCUUUAUAAAGCAAUUUGAAUCUCCUGUCAUAUGUCUUGCGCAUCCACUAUCCAGAUACCAUUUAACAUUUUUCUUGAUAGUGACCUGCAUUUAAGAAAGAUACUCAAGCUUUUUUUGGUACCCAUAUUUUCUUGGGUCCAUUGAUGUUAGUAUGAUAUGCGGUUUUUGCCCAUACUUUCUUAACAGCUUUCCAAAUCAUAGGACAUUCUUUUUCAAAAUGAUCUGCACUAAUGCACUUUGAACAUCUGAGAGCAUUUCGACCAACUGGUUUUACAAACACUUUUUGAAAAUGAUUUUUGUAAAAUGUCUUUGAAGGUCUUUGCUUAAUUAUUUCCUUCACUUUAGGAAAAUCAAUUAAAGGAAUGGUUUCUGCUAUCAUUCCUAAACCAGAGUUAUUGAAAUAAGGUCUUUAUGCUGAAAGAAUUUUUUUCAAGUUUCUCAAAUCCUAUUGAAAAUCUUUUUGAAAUAUUUGAUAAGUCAUUUUUUAAAAAUGCAUUUUCUUUCAAGAGAUUAUCUUCGCUUUCUUUAAGAGAAGAAACAUUCAUAUCUAAACACUUCAACUUUUCUUUCAAAACAUUUUCCUGUUGUUUUAGUGCAGAGUUUUCCUUUUUAAGUUCGGAAAUCCUUUUAAGAGAAGUCUUAAGACUAAAACACAGCUCAUCAAUGUAUUUAGAGACUUUAACAGGAAUUUUAAAGUUACUUACCUCAAAUCCAUUAUCUGAAUCUGAGUCUAUCUCGGAGUUUGAUUCAGAAUCUGAUUGUGCCAUUAGACAUAUAUUGGCAUAAUCAUCAUCACUUUAUUCACAUUCUGUAUCACUCCAGGUUUCUGCUUUAAGAGCCUUUCGAUACUUUUCAACUUUUCAUUUCUUCUUUUUCAGAAGAGGAUAGUUGGGUCUGAUGUGUCCCUUUUUCUUACAUUCAAAGCAUACUACAUCUUUGUUUGAUUAAUCAUCAUCAACAGACUUGGUCUGUUGCUUUUGAAAAUUAUGUUUCUUUGGAUUGAAUCUUAUUCCUUUUAUGUUAAGCUUUCUGAAUCUUCUUAUCAUGAGAACAAGCUCCUCAUCAUUCAUAUCGUCUUCAGAAUCUGUGACAUCAGAAUCAUCAUUGGAUUUUAAUGCAAUGGAUUUCUUACCUUUAGGAUCUUCGUCUUCAUUGAUUCGUUCCACUUCAUAAGACUGAAGAGUUCCAACCAACUCAUCGACAGAUAGUGGCAUGAUUCUUUGUGUCUCUCUUAUUGAGGUCUUUAUGUGAUUCCACUCCUUGGAAAGUCCACGCAAUAAUUUGUUUACCUUCAUGGGAUCAGAAAUUGGUUGACCUUGAUUUUGAAGACCAUUCACAAUUUCUGUAAAACAACUAAACAUGUCAGUUAUAGAUUCUCCUGAUUUCAUUUUGAAGGCUUCAUAUUGACCGAGGAAAAUAUUGAUUCUGGUCUCUUUCACUUGAUCAGUUCCUUCAUAGGUGAUAUGUAAUCUAUCCCAGACUUCUUUUGAUGUAUCACAAGAAGAUAUUCUAUUAUAUUCAGUAGGUGAUAAAGCACAAUAUAAAGAAUAAAUUGCUUUUGCAUCAAGAGUUUGUCUCUUGAUUAUCUCUUCCUGAGUCAUUUCACUUGACUCGACAAUUUUUUUUCCUCUUUCUGUGACAGAUGCAGCUUUAGGAUUGAUUCCUUUUUCUACAACGUCCCAUUCCAGAGGAUCCUUUGAUCGUAGAAAUGCUUUCAUCUUGUUUUUCCAGAUGUUGUAAUUCUUUCCAUCAAAGUAAGGUGGUAUGGUAUUGCUCUGCCCUUCCAUCAGCCCUGGAGCUAGCAUACGAGCCAUGGAUCUUUAACUCUGAAGUAAAACACUUCAAACAAAGUGAGUACACAUGCUCUAAUACCAAUUGAUAUAGCUAGUAUAAGCACCUAGAGGGGGGGUGAAUAUGUGUAAUAAUAAUUUCUCAAAAUAUGAAAGCAAUACUGGACUAACAACAUAAAGGAAGCUUUCCUUUAGUUAACGAAUCGAACUAUGAUCAAAGUAAAGCGAAGAGUAAGGAAGAGAAAAUUGAACACAAGGUUUAUAGUGGUUCGGCUUAUUUCAAGCCUACGUCCACUCUUCUGCACUGACAGCCCACUGGCUGGAUUUCACUAUGAACAAAAGAGAUAUUACAGCACUGCUUUCCCUUGAUUCCACAGUGUAGAUAUUCUAUCACACUUCCUCAAGGUAUCUCAAAGUAUAGACUCUCUUUUGCGUACAAGAUUUCGCUCAGUAAAUGAAUUGACUAAGAAUCAAAGAGCUUCAGACUUUGGAAUUCUUCUAUCGUGCACCUUUUUGAACAACUGGAACGUCUUCCUCUUAUACUCCUUUAUGGCAUCAUACCCGUUGGCACUUACCAAAGGAAUUCUUCCAAUCCUCCCGUUGGACAAAAUCAAUUAGGAAGAUUAUUCAAGCUAUUAAAGGAGCAUUUCGAUAGUCCAUCAAUCCUGCUCAUCCAUACAAUCAGGAUCUUGAUUUCCAUAAGUAGAACAUUCCAAGAAUACUUCGCCAAUCAUCGGAUCCUUAAUCAAUCUUAAUUCGAAUAAAGGAAUCCGUUAUGUCACAUCCAGCCAAGAGCUAUUCUCCAGUCGAUAAGGCCAAAUCCUUAAUGAAGUAGAUAUGGAUAGUCUGUCUUCAACGGAUUAGAAACUGUCAGUGAGAAUAGACUUUGAGUCUUGAGUUUGGUAGAUCCGGAGGUCUUCAGACUUUAAUAGAAGAGUCUGCAAAACUUCAGACUAGACUGAUAGAAACGUUUUGUCAGCUUCAAAAUAUUCCAGAAAGAUUUCUCCAACAUCAACAACACAACAAGACUGAUUGUAGUGUACAAAAUUUUUCACUUAUUCUAUAAUGUCUUGGAAUGUAAUUAAAUUAGUGAAAUACACGUGUGGAUUACUAAGAUGACUUUCUUUAUGUCAAUAUAUUGUUGCAGGUACACUAUGAAGGAUUGAGUUUUACAUUUAAAUAGUUAAUCAAAGCUGUUAAAAAAAGUUCACAGGCAUAAGUAUAUUUCCCUUUCGUUAAUUUUUAUUGAAUUGUCCAAAUUCUAAGAAAAUUUUGUUCAGAUUUUCUCUGAAAUUUAUGUGGUUGAAAAGGCAGCGUUAUUGCCGUCAGCCCAGCAAGGUCCUAAUAGAAAUUGUAGCUCAAAGAGUAUAUAUUCCGUAUGUAGAUUUGGCAUUCAUUUUACUAAAAAAAGUAAUACAGGAUAAAAUUAUGCAAUAUUAAUGAACGAAAUAAUUUAAAGAAAUCUCUCCACUCUACAUAAAAACAUCUCCAUGCACCAUUGUAGAGGAUAAAAAGGUUGUCUCUUUCAUCCACUUUGUCUCUUUAUGCAAAUCAUCUCUACUUCCUCAACUCUUAUAAUAGCUCGAUGGGCAAAAAUUCAUUUAUAUAUGGGAUGAGGAAAAGCAAAACAGAUUUGAAUGCAAAAAAAAAGAUGAAGGAGGGAGAGCCUCGAAGAGCAAUCAAUGGAGAAAGAAACACCAGGAACUUUUUACAGGAAUAUGUAAUUAUCAACGGCUGAGAUUUAAUACCAUUCAUCCAACAAUUUAGAACCUUAAUAAAGACCCAAACAUGAGAAAGAAAGAGGAGAGAGGUAUGGACCAUGGAACUCUGUAGCCUAACCUUUGUUAAUGCCUUAACUAAAAGUCUGAAAGUGAAUGUUAGAAUAGGAUUAGAGUAGGACCGAGCGAAAAAAAAAACACUAAUCUAUUUCUUGGUAAUUGGUAGCGGACUGCUCUAAAUCAUCUCUAGUCAAAACUAAAUAUUAAAAUCCGACCAAAGAAAAAACUAUUAAAGAAAGACUAUUGCUGAUUAACUCAAUCAAGACAAGUAUAUAUACGGAGAUGGAUGAUGAGGUUUUAGUCUUAAACCCGCUUCUUGUCUGCCAUUAUUAGGAGAAAGAAUGGAAAGAACAACAAUAGAGGUGGAUGGGCAUUACGUAACAGUUAUGCACACUAUAACGCUAGGAUAUGUAAGUAUAUAUUAAAUUCCACCUAUUUGAACGGCAGAUGGGCAUAUUGAAGUUAGGCUGCUCCUCUUUAACUGGGAUAAAACAAUAAACAUGUAUAUUUUUUGACCAAGGAAGCUUUGCUAUGAUAUAAUCUAUGAUAUAAUCAUUGUUGCUUGGUAAAAAGGGGCAAAAAAAAAAUAAAAAAUUGAAGCUUGAACGUUUGCAAUUUAAUUCGAUCUAUAAUUACCCGAUUCUCUUUUCCAUCUACUAUAAUCUGAUUAUAUAUUCUUGGGAGAGCAUAUCUAGGUGAUGACGACAGAAUUGAAGAGAAACUAACAAAUUUUUUUAAAUUAUUAUUAUCAUCAUUUAAAAAUAAUUUUUUAUAGUGUUUUUGGACACUUAUUGAGCAAUAUGGGCCCACUUUUUUACCUUCUGAACCUUUGGCGUCUUUAAUAAUUCCAAGACUUUGGUCCCAUUUCCGACCAACUUGCUUCAGAGAAAUUGAGGCAACAAAAAUGAAAUUAAAUCAAAAGGGACAUGAUGAAAUGCAACGGCAGCUUCUUCCGAGAAAGAAAGAGCCCUUUAGUGCUUAAAAGUCUUUUGAUUCGCUCCAUCAUUUGAUGCUGUUGUCCUGGCCGGAGUAACUUCGGUUCCCUCUCCGCUCUGCACACUUUAUUUCAACCCUUCUGGGCACUCUUGUUUAGUCCUCUACCGCUCACGAAUCAAGCCAUGCCCAUCACAGAGCUCUUUCUUGGCGCCUUUCUUCAGGUGUUGUUCAAUAGGUUGGCCUCUCCGGAGCUCCUCAACUUUGCACAGUGUGGGGGGAUUGAUAUGCGGUUGAAGAAAUGGGAGAAGAUGCUGGAGAGUAUCAAGGAGGUGCUGGAUGAUGCAGAGGAUAGGCAACUCACCGGCCAUCUCGGGGUGAAGUCGUGGCUAGAAGAUCUUAAAAACUUGGCCUAUGACAUCGAAGACUUGCUUGAUGAGUUCGUCACAGAAUCCACUGAAAGCAAGUCCAAGGCAGAAUCCAACACUAGCAAGGCGUGUUCCCUUCUUUCCAAUUGUUGCUUUAGAUUGAGUCCAAGAGAAUUUAUGCUCGACCACAAAAUGAGAUCUAAGAUAGAAGAGAUGGAUGCCAAAUUACUGGAGAUCAUAACUCGAAAAGACAGUCUGAGCUUGAGAGAGAAUAACGAGAAGCAAUCAACAAAUCGUUUACAGGAUAAGCCAAUUCCAACUACACAUUUGACUGAGGGUUGUUUUGUUGGUAGGGAAGAAAAAAAAAUGGAGAUUCUCAAAUUACUAACCGAAGAAAAAGAUGAUAGAAUAACUACGAACAUAAAAGUGAUUCCCAUCGUAGGGAUGCCGGGUCUUGGGAAGACAGCUUUGGCUCAGCAAGUCUUCAAUGAUGCUAGAGUGACCGGUUACUUUGAUGCAAAAGCAUGGGCUUGUGUUUCUGAUGAUUUCGAUGUGCUUGCUAUUACGAAGAGUAUCCUACAAAAAAUCGACUGCACUUUGUCUAGUGAAGAUAAGGACCUAGAUUGGCUUCAGGAUAAGCUCAAACAAAACCUUUCAGGGAAGAAGUUUCUUAUCGUUUUGGACGAUGUUUGGAACGAGAAUUAUGGAAACUGGACUAUCCUCUUGAAGCCUUUUCAAUCGGGAGCCAAGGGAAGCAAAAUCAUCGUCACGACCCGUAAUUCCCAUGUUGCUGAAAUAGCCGGUGCUCGACCUUAUACUCUUAGAGAGUUGUCACGAGAAGCUUGCAUGACUCUACUUGCAUUUCAUGCUCUUGGAGUCAAAAAUUUUGAUCAUCAUCCUUAUCUUGAAGCAUUAGGUCUCAAAAUAGUGGAAAAAUGCAAAGGGUUGCCACUAGCUGUAAAGACAUUAGCUGGGCUACUACGCACUAAAGUUGGUCCCCUUGAAUGGCAAGCUGUAUUGAACAGCAAGAUUUGGGAUCUACUGAAAGAAAGAAAUGACAUCCUUCCAGCUUUGAAACUUAGCUACCUCCAUCUCCCUUCCAAUCUGAGGAGAUGCUUUGCUUACUGUGCUAUAUUUCCCGAGGACUAUGAAAUACAACGGGACGAAUUGAUUCAUUGGUGGAUUGCAGAGGGCUUGGUGGACAAAAAAGAAGCAAAGAGUCAAUGGAAUACAGGUUUGAAUUAUUUCAACGAGCUAGUAAACAGGUCGUUAUUACAAAAGUCAAAUAGCAAUGGAUCACAAUUCUUAAUGCAUGAUCUUGUGAAUGACCUGGCAAAACUAGUUGCAGGUGCAUCCCAUUAUAGUUCAGGGGAAUUUGAGUUUGUGGAUGAUCACAAUAAUGCGUCUUUAGCUCGUCACGCCUCAUUCCUUCCAAGAGAGUAUAUUAUGCCAGAAAGACUCAAGAUAUAUCAUCAAAUGCAAGGACUUAGGAGCUUCAUAUCGUUAGGGAAUCAAUGUCAAUUUUCCUUUGUGACCCAGAAAGUGCUAUAUGACUUGUUGUUGAGAUUGAAGUACUUAAGGGUGCUUUCAUUGAGUCACUAUUACAUCAACGAGGUACCAGAAUGCAUUGGCAAACUAAGGCACCUAAGGCACCUUAAUCUAUCACGUACUAGUAUUGAAACCCUUCCAAAGUCGAUUGUUGCAUUGCACAACCUAGAAGCUUUGAUGUUGCAAGACUGUUACAUGCUUAUCAAAUUACCUGAAGGUAUGGAAAAACUUAUCAAUCUAAGAUUUCUUGACAUUACCAAUACUUCAAGUCUAAGAGUAAUGCCACUAAAUAUAGGUAAUUUAUUGGGUCUUGAGAUCUUGUCCAAGUUUAUAGUUGGAACGGAAAAUGGGUCAAGGUUGAAUGAGUUAAAAAACCUAAAGAACCUUCAAGAGGAAUUGUGCAUCUCUGAUUUGCAUAAAGUUCAAGAAGCUAGAGAAGCCAAAGAUGCCAAUUUACUCAUGAAGGAGGGAAUAUGCCGGUUGAACAUGCAAUGGUGCACAAAUUUUGAAAAUUUCCGGAAUGAAGAGCUUGAAACAAAGGUCCUUGACUUUCUUUGCCCUCACCAAAACCUUGCACAUCUUAAAAUAUCCUACUAUGGCGGCCUAAAAUUCCCAUCUUGGUUAGGUAGUCCGACACAUGUUAACAUAAUGCAUUUACAUUUAUAUGGGUGUCAAAGGGUCAAAGAAUUACCAUCGCUUGGGCAGCUAUCUUCGUUGAAAGAAUUGUACAUCAAAGGUUUAAAUGCAAUAUGCAUGGUAGGGUCUGAAUUUUAUGGAAGUAAAAGUCCUUUUCCAUCCUUGUUGACUUUGGAAUUCAAGGGCAUGCCAUUGUGGGAGGACUGGUCUCAUUGCAUCAACACUGAAGAAGUUGGAGUUGUAUUCCCUCGUCUUGAGCAUCUCGUCAUUCAGGAUUGCCCUAUGCUAAUCGGAAGAUUGCCUAGUCAACUAAGCUCCCUUGUAAAGCUUGAAAUUAACUCAUGUCCACGUGUGGAAGCCUCGCCAUCUUUCAAUGGCCUUUCAUCUCUCAGUGAAUUAAAAUUCGAAAGUUGUAAUGAGAGGGUGCUGCAUAGUUUGGUAAACCUGGCGUCUCUUACUACUCUAAAGAUAAAUGAUGUUGCUGAACUCAUGUGCUUAAAUCAUGGGUUUACAAGCUCCUUGAUCAAGCUAGAGAAGUUGGAGAUCGAAAGGUGUACAGAGUUAAUAUAUUUGUGGCGAGAUGGAGAUGUAAUUCAGAAUCUCAAUUGUCUAAAGAGAUUAGUCAUAUGUAGUUGUCCAGAAUUCAUAUAUUUUGUGGCUAAAGAAGGAGAUAUAGAGCUGCCUAGCAACCUUGAGACUAUCAAAUUGGAAAAUUGCAUCAAUUUAGAGAAGCUCCCAAGCAAGAUGUACACCAUCUCCUCUCUUAAAGACUUGACAGUUAGUGGCUGUCCAAAACUCGUGUCCUUCCUUGAAAUAGGUAUACCGACAUCUCUAAUAUCAUUAAAUAUCGAGAACUGUGAGAUGUUGCAAUCUUUACCCAGAGAAUUAAGUGCUCAUCUAGAUGAACCAAGCAGCAGUAGUAGCAAUACCCGCAGUGACAUUAUAUCUUGUCUACAAGACUUAAGCAUCUCCGGAUGCAAUUCUUUGCCAUCCUCUCCAUUCAGCGAGGGUAUAGUUUUACCCACGACCCUCAAGAGGCUUGACAUUUGUCACUGCAGUGGAGUGGAGUCGCUUGCGGAGAUAAAACUAGACCCUCUUCAGUUUAUUCAAGAGAUUAGAAUUUGGGGUUUGGAGAAUUUGAGAAGCUUACCCCAGGGUCUACACACGCUGUCUCGGCUCACUUCCUUGAGAUUGAGUGGCUGUCCUGUUUUGGAGAUGGAGUGCUUCCCUCCUCUUCCUCUCGGAAUCUCUACGUUUGAGCUUGGGAAUUGUCCGAAGAUAAAAUCGUUACCUAAUCAGUUGCAUCAACUCUCGAGUCUUCGACAUCUAUCAAUUUGGGGGUGUGAGAGAUUGACGCGCUUCCCCGAGGGAGGAUUGCCGCCCCAGCUAGAGAGACUUUGGGUAAUUCGAUGCAAGAAUAUGAAACAGCCGGUGAGGGAGUGGAUUACCCCCCUUACCUCCCUUCGAAAUAUGACAAUCGACAGCAGCGUGGGAGGAGUGGGAGAGGAGGAGGAUCUUGUGCUUCCGCUCCCUUCCUCUCUGCUCAAGCUCUCUAUCUUACGUAUGGGGAAAGUGGAAAAACUAUCCAAUAGUCUCCCUCCCUCUCUCCGGUUCUUGGAGAUCUCCAAUUGCCCAAAGCUGAGGGAAUUACCCCAGGAUGGCCUCCCUCCCUCCCUAGAAGAACUCCUUAUUUGGAAUUGCCCAAUUCUGAAGGAGCGAUGCAGGAAAGGGACUGGCUGCUAUUGGCCCCUCAUCCGCGAAAUCCCAUAUAUUCAAAUACCGUGAACCCUAGCUCUUUCAUCAUCUGUGUCCUUCCCCCGUUGUGGUGUGCACCUCAAUCGCCACCGCUGCUUCGACUCUCCACUCCGUCGUCGUCCUCACCUCCAUCUCCAUCUCCAUCUCCAUCUCAUGAAUAUAUUUCAAUUAAAACAGGUAAUCGAUCUUUCCGAUCACUACUCUUCAAUACUCGUAGUCACUUCUCUUUCUCAGAUUUGGCAUCACUUUUCCUCCGAUUCUUUCGUUCUCGGUGUGCUCCGCCUCAUUCUCCAAGAUUCUUUCAAUCUUGC
RNAcentral lists this long non-coding RNA (31321 nucleotides) under Eucalyptus grandis. RNAcentral's name for it is "long non-coding RNA (EGRA_LNC000917)". The record is from RNAcentral. Lineage: Eukaryota; Viridiplantae; Streptophyta; Magnoliopsida; Myrtales; Myrtaceae.